RNAcentral lists this transfer RNA (64 nucleotides) under Pinctada imbricata (Akoya pearl oyster). RNAcentral describes it as "tRNA-Gln". Lineage: Eukaryota; Metazoa; Mollusca; Bivalvia; Pterioida; Pteriidae. The record is from RNAcentral.
UUUCUGUUAGUAUAAUGAGUACGUUGGCUUUUGGUGCCGGAGGGGGGUGAAUUCUCACAGGAAU